UCCCCAAGGUGACAAGGAUUGAAGGU
Molecule: non-coding RNA, 26 nt
Filed under: Rattus norvegicus (Norway rat)
Lineage: Eukaryota; Metazoa; Chordata; Mammalia; Rodentia; Muridae
Source: RNAcentral